UGAACGCUGGCGGCGUGCUUAACACAUGCAAGUCGAACGGUAACAGGAACUAGCUUGCUAGUUUGCUGACGAGUGGCGCACGGGUGAGUAAUAUAUAGAUAAUGUGCCCCUUGGACCGGGAUAGCCAUUGGAAACGAUGAUUAAUACCGGAUACUCCUUCUUACCAAAAGGUAAGUCGGGAAAUGGAUUCCGCCAAGGGAUCGGUCUAUAUCCCAUCAGUUAGUUGGUAGUGUAAGAGACUACCAAGACGAUGACGGGUAGCGGGUUUGAGAGGAUGAUCCGCCACACUGGUACUGAGACACGGACCAGACUCCUACGGGAGGCAGCAGUGAGGAAUAUUGCACAAUGGGGGAAACCCUGAUGCAGCAACGCCGCGUGGAGGAUGACGCAUUUCGGUGUGUAAACUCCUUUUAUAUGUCAAGAAAAUGACGGUAGCAUAUGAAUAAGCACCGGCUAACUCCGUGCCAGCAGCCGCGGUAAUACGGAGGGUGCAAGCGUUAUUCGGAAUCACUGGGCGUAAAGGACGCGUAGGCGGGUUGGAAAGUCAGAUGUGAAAUCCUACAGCUUAACUGUAGAACUGCAUUUGAAACUUCCAAUCUAGAGUAUGGGAGGGGGAGAUGGAAUUAGUGGUGUAGGGGUAAAAUCCGUAGAUAUCACUAGGAAUACCGAAAGCGAAGGCGAUCUCCUGGAACAUAACUGACGCUAAGGCGUGAAAGCGUGGGGAGCAAACAGGAUUAGAUACCCUGGUAGUCCACGCCCUAAACGAUGUUCACUAGUCGUCGGGAUGCUAGUCAUCUCGGUGAUGCACUUAACAGAUUAAGUGAACCGCCUGGGGAGUACGGUCGCAAGAUUAAAACUCAAAGGAAUAGACGGGGACCCGCACAAGUGGUGGAGCAUGUGGUUUAAUUCGAAGAUACGCGAAGAACCUUACCUAGCCUUGACAUUGAGAGAACCUGCCAGAGAUGGCGGGGUGCCCUUCGGGGAGCUCGAAAACAGGUGCUGCACGGCUGUCGUCAGCUCGUGUCGUGAGAUGUUGGGUUAAGUC
RNAcentral lists this ribosomal RNA (1045 nucleotides) under Sulfurimonas sp. 10H30-7C-S. RNAcentral describes it as "bacterial SSU rRNA". It matches the Rfam family "Bacterial small subunit ribosomal RNA", at positions 30 to 1086 of the family's 1533-position model. The record is from RNAcentral. Lineage: Bacteria; Pseudomonadati; Campylobacterota; Epsilonproteobacteria; Campylobacterales; Sulfurimonadaceae.